RNAcentral lists this ribosomal RNA (484 nucleotides) under uncultured bacterium. Its description in RNAcentral is "partial 16S ribosomal RNA". It matches the Rfam family "Bacterial small subunit ribosomal RNA", at positions 30 to 507 of the family's 1533-position model. The record is from RNAcentral.
AUUGAACGCUAGCGGGAUGCUUUACACAUGCAAGUCGAACAGCAGCGCGGACUUCGGUCUGGCGGCGAGUGGCGAACGGGUGAGUAAUGUAUCGGAACGUGCCCAGUAGCGGGGGAUAACUACGCGAAAGCGUAGCUAAUACCGCAUACGCCCUACGGGGGAAAGCAGGGGAUCGUAAGACCUUGCACUAUUGGAGCGGCCGAUAUCGGAUUAGCUAGUUGGUGAGGUAACGGCUCACCAAGGCGACGAUCCGUAGCUGGUUUGAGAGGACGACCAGCCACACUGGGACUGAGACACGGCCCAGACUCCUACGGGAGGCAGCAGUGGGGAAUUUUGGACAAUGGUGGCAACCCUGAUCCAGCCAUCCCGCGUGUGCGAUGAAGGCCUUCGGGUUGUAAAGCACUUUUGGCAGGAAAGAAACGUCGCGGGCUAAUACCCCGUGGAACUGACGGUACCUGCAGAAUAAGCACCGGCUAACUACGUG